GACGAACGCUGGCGGCGUGCCUAAUGCAUGCAAGUCGAGGGAGAACCGUCCAAUCCGUAAGGAGCGGACGGGGAAACCGGCGAACGGGUGCGUAACACGUGAGGAACCUUCCCUGAAGACCGGGAUAGCCCGGGGAAACCCGGAUUAAUACCGGAUGACCUCAUCGGACCGCAUGGUCUGGUGAGCAAACAGUCCGCUGCUUCAGGAUGGCCUCGCGGCCUAUCAGCUUGUUGGUGGGGUAACGCCUACCAAGGCUUCGACGGGUAGCUGGUCUGAGAGGACGAUCAGCCACACUGGGACUGAGACACGGCCCAGACUCCUACGGGAGGCAG
Molecule: ribosomal RNA, 332 nt
Filed under: uncultured Actinomycetes bacterium
Lineage: Bacteria; Bacillati; Actinomycetota; Actinomycetes
Description: bacterial SSU rRNA
Rfam family: Bacterial small subunit ribosomal RNA
Source: RNAcentral